Molecule: long non-coding RNA, 450 nt
Organism: Danio aesculapii
Lineage: Eukaryota; Metazoa; Chordata; Actinopteri; Cypriniformes; Danionidae
Exons: 3
Source: RefSeq, a predicted model, not a curated record
AGUAGCUGCGUCUCAAUUGGUCGCCGUCACUUCACCUCAGCUGAAUCCGGCAGAUUAGCCACUGAUCUCGGCAUAUUCAUCGUAUUUUUGUUCUGUUUUAUGUGGCUUUACACAGUCAGCUGCCUUUGGACUUAUUUCUUACAAUUAUCAGAUAAUAUGGGAUGCUGUGUGCAUUUAAUUGUGCUCACAAACCAUUCACGUGGCCUCGUUUCCCAUAGCCUCUGAAGUUAUAAGAGAAACAUGCUAAAUGUGCAGUGGUGAAUUAUGGCUCAAGAGGACUGGAAUUGAGAACCAAUGGUUUAGUGUGUCUCAAGCCUUGACAAUGGGCUGAGAGAAAAGCAGACCUGUACUUCAACAUCAAAUCCAGUGUGUGGACCUCUGACAGAUCAUGACUGUGAAAAGGCAAUGAAACACUCAACCUGCUCACCUGGACAAUACAUCAACCAAACU